Molecule: long non-coding RNA, 11836 nt
Organism: Harpia harpyja (harpy eagle)
Lineage: Eukaryota; Metazoa; Chordata; Aves; Accipitriformes; Accipitridae
Exons: 3
Source: RefSeq, a predicted model, not a curated record
AAGUAAGAGUAGCCUGGCCAUUACCUGUUGAUUUCCAUUAUAAAGGAGCACCAUAGACCGUGGCAGUAUUUCAGUGAUGUAACCCAGUCCUGUACGCACAGGCAGAAUUUGGCUCUCUGUGUCCUGGCACAGGAGGUGGAGGGAAGCCGUGGAAGUAGGUCCAUCAGGGUGAGUGCAUUAACUCGAUGUUUUGAGAUCUAAUUCUCAGAGUUAAAAUGCAUGAACAGAGAUUUUACACUGAAAUCUAUGAUUUCCUCUGAAUUCUCUUCUUUUGUGCCUUCUGCAUACGAGCUUUUGUUAGUCAAUUGCUACACAGCAUUUUACAGCGUGUCUUUUGUGUAGUGGUCCUUUCAGCUGUCAUGCUCUGAUCGCAUUCAGCCUAGAUGUAUAGAGCAUUUAUUGUUUGCUUUGGGAGUUUUUUAAUGAACAUUUCAUUUAAUAUUCAGCCUUACUUGCCACUUGUCAGCAAGAUCAACAUCCUGUUGAAUUUCACUCCGAGCAACCUCAGUGCAUCAGUUACGGGUCCACGUCUCAUUUCAUCAAUAGUUGCAAAUAGGCCACAAGACUGUCUGUGUCAGUCGUGUAUAAGAGUGAAGACAACAGAGGUCUAAAUACAAACUAUGAUGGAAAUUACCGACUUUUUCCUUUCCUUCUCUUCUCAGGCUCUGACCCAUUUUUUCCCCCCAUAUCUCAUCUGUAGUAAAUGUCUUGAGCUCCAUCUGAGGGUGUCCUGCCAAGGGGAAAAGAGAAUUAUGUUUGCUUUCUUCCCUUGUUUAUGCUGCAUGGAGCAGGCCUAAGAGGUUUUCCCCUCUUUAUCCAAUAAUAUUAUCUUGUUUUCUUUUUAUAAUAACUCCAGGGCUUGUCCUAAUAGGCUCGCUGGAUAACUGGAGUAAUACAGAUAUAUACAAAAACUGCUUUGCUGAGAGGAGUAACAAUUUUUCAUUAAGGCUAUUAAUGUCCUUAGGGAUUUUUAUUCUGUUUCACUGAAAUGCCUAAAAAUAUGUAGCAGAAAAUAUACUCUUGUUAAAUGAUUGGAUAAUUCUGCCAUCUUAGCUAAGAGUUGGGCAACCACUGAGACAUCCCACAGAUUCUUCAGCAAAAAGAAGAAAAGCCAAAGUUGACAUUUUACAUAUAUUUUUCUUUUAGAGCUAUAGGAAGCAGUCCCAAUACUCUUAUGCCUUUUUUUAAUACAGAAAUAAAAGCACAAGCAAGAGCACAAGCCAAUUUUUUUUGUUUUCCUUGGUAGGUCACUGCUAACAGCAUUUUUUGAAAUCCCAGCAACUGCUACUAAUCCUGACCUGAUUUGGAGUCUUUUCAAAGCACACAAAUAAAACCAGGUUGACAAAGCUCAGCUCAGAGACUGGUUUGCCUUCUUUUAUCUCAACUGGGACUGCCACAGGGGCAGGAGAAGUACCACCAAACCGAUCAGCUGGCAGCAUUGCUUUCAAGAAUACUCUGGAGCAGCAGCAUCAAAUCCUGUAAACUUCCUGGGAUUGCUGGUGUGUUGGCCGUGGCGGUAGCAAAUGCUGUACGUGAACACUGACCUCCAGAAGCACUUUUUCUCCUUCUCUUUCCCUCUUAGCAUUUUCUUAAGUUUCCUCUUUCCAAUACCCAUGUGCGCCUUUAGUGCCUGCAGCACUGACCUUCCCUAGUAUUUGUUUCCUCUUCUGCACGUUCCUGCCUGUUAUUUCAAGGGGAAUUGAAACUCUUCUAAAAGCCCUGGGAAAGGGCUUUUCUUUUGCUACAGAGGCUGCAAAUUUGCCAUAUUUCUCCCACAUUACAGUAGGGCUCCAGACCCACUUGUUGUCAGUCAUGCUGGCAGGAUCGAUAACUCUGGAAAAGGAGGUCAGAAUGGGCAAAUAAAUUGACAUUGAAUACAGUAAUAAACAACCUGGCUAUAAGGUCCCCUCACAUACAUAUUCCAUUUUCUGCAGUUUGUCAUUUAAACGUGAGGCAAGCUGUAUUCAGAUAGGAAGUCAGGAAUGAUGGGAAAGGAGGAAGAAGGAUGAUCAAGGCACUGUUAUGACAGUAAUUAAUUUAACAGCAUGUGCUUGUGUGGAUGUGUUUCAGGAUUUCAUUGCAUCAAAAAAACCCAUCUCAGGUAGUUUUGGGACACUGAUGAAGUUUUAUUGCUCUUCCCAACCCUUGUCUCUAAACCCAGAGUUUGUUUGGUUUUUUUAUAUCAUGAAUCUCACUGAAAUAUUGGUAUCCUAUGACCCGCUCUCUCUGCCGCUCCUCCUGUAAUUCACUCCUGGGUCCUUCCUCAGCAGUGAGUGCUGCCAGUGUUGUUACUGCCUCCCCUCUGCAAGUCAUCCCUCUCACAAAGGCUCUCCACUUGAACUAGAGAAAAGGGAUUUCCUCCCUAAAAGACCAGAAUUUUAUCCUCAUUACAGAGCUUUUACUACUGUGUAAUACACAGCAAUCAUCUAAUAUCUGUCGUCUUUAUCCAUAAAAUGAAAGCAUUAAUAUCCCCAUCUGUCAAAGAUUGCAUGUAAACAUUCAUGCCUCCCAGGAUGUGAUAGAGAUCCACAUUCCCUUUCAUAUAAGCACUGCUACCUCUUCUGUCCUAAUGCCUGAUCCACGGCAGUGGCCUCAAAGAGCUUUUCAGAAGACAUUCACACUCUACUGAUUUAUUCCCACAUAAAGGUAAAUACAUACAUAAGCAUAUACUUGAACAGGUGUUUCCACAAGUCAUCAUGUACUCCGUAUCCAAAUAAUAUUUUAGUGCCAUAAAAGGGAAGCUGAUUUUAAGGACUCACAAUAAUUUCAAACUCUGGGGCUGUUUUCCAGCAAACAGAUUACAUGCUUACAGCCCUAUGCUGUUUUCCCCAUACAUUUCAGAUUCUCUCAGCUCAAAACCUUGCUUGGUGCAUUUUCCAUGAUGGUUGUCAUUGGUCCAUUAAUUCUAGCAGCUCCAGGGUAAAUUCUAUCUGCAUCUUCCUGCAGCUACACGGCAUUUGAUUUGUCCUCAUCUACAUAAUCCAUCUGUCCCCCAAUUUGAGAGCUGUGUGCAGCCCUAGGUGCCAGGGAGCAUGGGCUCAGUGCACCGCUCUGAAAGGCAUGGACAACAACCUUGCGUAAUUUCUGGCUUUUUUUCUUAGCAUCUGAUUAAAUUAAUGUGAUUCUUGCAUGAGUCAUGUAAUGGGUGUCUGUUUAAUGUACGGCUUCUCAGCCGUGGCACCUGUUUCUGGGAGGUGAUGGAUAUCAGUAAAUGGAGUUAGAGGUGCUUGGUUCAUCUCAGGAUCUCAUCUGAAGUAGUGUGACAGUUCCUCGGCACGGCCAAAAACCACACGCAGUGUUUCUUUGCCUUGGAGCAUGGGGUGGGGGCCAGCCCAUGGGUGCCAGUCUACCUGGUUUCUCCAUCCUGAGGGCUUCAGCAGCAGCUAAACCAGAGGGAACCAUCAGCUCAGACAGGGAGACCUCCAAGGCAGACGGUCCUGCGUGCGAGGAUGCUGCGGGCAGGAGCCCGAGCACGCCGGCUCUCACGCAGCCUUCCCGGAUCCAGCCCGCAGGGACCUGGCCACCGGAGCACUGGCAGUCUCCAGCAGAUCUGCUUUGGUUCACCCCCACUCAGAUUUCCAUAUCAGAACUUAACUCAAGUACUGGAAAAAAUGAUCUUUGUGGCGUGGCUGGCUUUAUGUACAGUUUAUUAUGUUUUUCUCCCAAACGAUCUUGGUUUAUUCAGAAUCUGCAAAGAACUGUGGUGUCUGAUCCGGAUGGGCUAGUGGAGCUGACAUCCCCCAUCACCAUCACAACAACAUCUGGCUCUGGCCUACUUGUGGCAGGCAUUUAAUCAGAUACUUACAGUGUACGUGUCUGUGGAUGUGUUUGCACAGUGGAAACUCUCCCCAUGUUCCUUAGAGCCCGGUGCUGCUGGAUUUAUUUUUUUUUAAAACCCAAAUUUUUGCUGCUUUUUAAAAAAUUUUUCGAUGUUUUCAUUCAGGUAAGCAUGGCUGUAGGAGGACAGAAGGCUGAGGACAAGUAGCAAAACACGAGAGCAUCCAGCAUGUUGGAUCUUAGGGAAAGAUGCACAAAGAUGCCCAAUAAAAUUAUGCAUGUUGGAUAAGCUUAAAUCUUCUCCUGCUAAUAUGCAACACACAGGGGUACUCUGUAAAAAGCAAUCUGGACAGAGAGAAAGAGGAUGUGUUCACUUAUAAGUGGACUAAAAUUAUUUUUGCUUCCCAUCAUCAGUUUAUGACAGUUGCUGCUGCUUUAAAACUCUUCCAGCAAGGACAAAACAUGUUGGGUUUCUUUUUCAAAAAAUUGUUUGUUUCCAGUGCACUGUGCUUGAGCCAGCAGGCAUAACCCAGAGUUUUGCAAUCUUGUGUUUUGAGGGGAUGGGGAGGACUCUGAGGCCAAGCUCUGUACCAAAUACAUGCAAACAUCUCACCUCCUUGCCCCCAGGCUUUCCCUCUCCUCAAGCGAGCAUGAUGCUGCCUCACUAAAAGGGCUUCGAAGUCUUUGCUCGGGAGCCACUCUGGAGUUGUUCUGUGUUAUUGAAAUGACAGGACACAAGUCACCUCUACUCUUCGUCUCCAGCCUUUCCUUGAAGGAGUGCCAGGGAGUCCUGCAAGGCACAGUGUUGGCACGAAGAGACAUUGAAUGUGAACACAAAGGAGAGCAAGCAUUUGGUAUGUUAGAGGAGAAAGGCAGAAGAGGUGAGGAGGAAGGAACACAUGGUAAAAAAAUAGGAUAUAAAAAGAGAGCCUUAAAAAUACACUGGAGCAGAAGUGUCAGAAAAGUCCUUAAAAUAACCUGGCUGAUGGGUAUGAUGAAUGAUACGAACUAGUGCUUGCUGUAAUCAGGUGUCCAGGUGAAGCAUCCCCCUUUAACGACAUUCUCUGGAGGCUUCGAGCUGGAUCACUUGCUAGAAACCAGCCACAGCUCAUAGCUGGUACCAUAUGACAACAGAUGUUUACCAGCAUCCUCCGAGAAACUCAUUUGUGCAAGCCAAACUCCCAGUAAACAUGUCACAAUCCCCAACAGCAUCACAUCAGUGGGAAGACUGGAUUUUGUCAUGGAGAACAGGACUGAAGAGCAAUUAGAAGGGGACCAGUACUGUCUCCCUCCACGUCGGUGCGAGGGCUGGCUGGAACCUGCUGGAUGUCUAACGUGCCGCCUUGUCUCAUUGCUGAGGCUGGGAUAACUGUUGAGAACUGGAUGGAACUCUUUUAAAAGCAAAAAUGAAACCAUGCCCACUUAUCUCCAUCCACCUUUGCAAAGGCAAACAUUAUGUUUUAGAGGUUAUUAGGGAAUCGGCUGCUCUCUAGGUUUUUGGUGACAGCUAUGGUUGAAUGUGCCUUGGGCUUUGCUUUGCUGAGAAGCACAGAUUAAUCCCAUGCCGCUCUUUCUUCCAAGGCUCCAGCACAAAUGAAUUCAAAGGCAACUGUUAGUGCAGGCUGCAUUGAACCUUGCGUUAAUUGAGCUUGCUGCAAGGCAGGCGUAUACAAAGUGGCUGCAAGUCAAGCAUCAUUUGAGGAGGGGAAUGUGAGUAUUCUGGUGUGAGAGUAAUCUGGCCACAGCCUCCGGCCCAGAUUUUUGCUGAAUUCAUUGCCUGACAUCUUCUUAGAGCCAAAGCAUCAGGAGUCCAAAUGUCUGAGUAGGACAUGGGAAACAGAUACUGUGAAAGCCUCGAUCUACAUCACUGCAGUAUCUAAUUGCGAAGGAUACUUCAAUGUAACGUCAUGCAUAUGAAGUUCACACCAACUAUACCUAUCUUAAGAUUUCAUAACAUUCCUUUUCAUGGUAUCUGAGCCCUACACAGUCAAUACUACUGGGAAACUCUAGUAAAUACAUGUAGUUAAUCUAUGGACUUUUCCCCUCUCUGUAGUAGGAAGGCUUUAGGAUUUCUGCUUAUUUUCUUCUCCUCUAUUAAAUCCUUCUCUGUUUGGUGAGCUGGUUUUACCGUGUAGUUAUGCUCCCAAUGGAGACAAAGCUUUUGGGGGUGCUUGAUGAUCAGCAACUAGAAUUCACAGUUUCUUUUAGAAAUGUGUUCAACAGCCCAACCCUUUGACCAAGGAGGUAACUUUAGAUCCUAAUGAUUAAUAACAAUAAUAAAAAAAGAGGACAUUAGACUUUCUCUGUAGCUUCAUGGAGUGCAUCUAACCAACAAGAUUCAGAAGGAAAUUCGGGUCCUGCCUUUCCCAUCUUGGAGUCUCUGGAGUGUGUAAGUGUACUUUGUGCAGCCACGGUUCACUUUGCUAAAUAUUCAGUGCAAGUCAAAGCCACGUAUCUGUAAUCCUACUCUGUUUUAUCACCGAUGUAAUGACAUUUACUGGAAAGCACAUUAGGAAAAAAUAGUCUGGGCUAACUUCGCUCUUUCAAAAACCUGCAAUUUAAGCUGGAUGUCAGAAGGUGGCAGCAGUAAAGCACAAUUAGGCCCUUUUUGUCCAUAGGCUUUUGUUUCAAACCAUGUUUUUGUUCCCAAAAGAGGCAGAUUUUUAAAAAGGUGUCAUUUUUAACAGUGACAUCAAGUGUGACAGGCGUCCUUCCAGUAAAUGUGAAUGCAUGACUGCCUUUCAUCCUGAUGGAAAGCAGUAUCAAGAGCAGAAUAUACCUUAUUGUAUACAAGUACACUUUUAGAAAAAUCAGGUUGCUCUAUUAUCUUCAGAAAACUAGUCUUCCCUCUUAGCCAUAAGAAAAGAUAACAUAAUUCUGUAAAUGCCCGUCCAAUAUGGUGAGCAUUUACUGAAUUUCAAGGAUCAUUUCUUUUAAAUAAAAAAAAAAAUCUAUUCGUAUUGCAAGCAUUUCCCCCAGUGAAGACUACAUUUUAAAGCUCAGGAAAAGCAGAGAGAGUCUGCGGUGGGAGUAUUCAUCAGUUGAUGAGCAGAGAGAGUCUGCAGUGGGAAUAUUCGUCAGCUGAUGAAUGUUCAACAGUUUCACUCCACCUCUAAGGUCUUUGUCUGUGAGUCUGUGAGCUUCACCCAUAGCUUAGCAGGGUGUCAGCUAUGAAAGGACACAGUGAUGCCAAGAGACAAAGUGUGUUUGAUUGAGGCUGUUCUUGCAGAAAGAAAAGCCAAGAAAUGAGGCAUCGUCACUCAGUCUGUGUCCCCUUCUGCAAUAAUAACUUAAUAUGGUUCCUAGACCAUAUUCUCAAGGUUUACUAUCUGACAUGACUUCAAUAUGCUUGCUGAGCUUUGGCAUGACAAGUCCUGCCCUUCUCCAAGUUCUGACCUAACCAGUUGCCUUACUUUGCUGUAUCCUCACGAAUGUCAUUGCAUUUCACUCUCACUUCAGAGAGAUUUGAAGCAAUUCUGUCCACUCUUUUCCAUCACUUUAAGGGGACAUUCCUGGAAACACUCCUGCGUGAUGCAAACCAGAUGCUGGUUUUGACAGUGUGUGAUAUUGUCUGUGGUAUAAAACCAGUGUAAUAUGUCUAUAGAUGAUAGUGUUUAUCCCCUCAGCUAUGUACCUCACACUCUUCCCUUCAGCUGGGAUGACUUGCCCCAGGACAUCUUUCUGUAACUAUCACUGAAGAACCAAGUGCCUUUUUCUAGCUAGAGCUCCUCAAGUGCUCUGGCUGUGCAAUGUGCCGUUGCAGUGUGUCCUUACCUUGGGAAUGAUGAACUCUGGACAGUUUCUUCUCCCUGGUCCAAGCUAUAUGCUUUUGUGUGACACACAGGAUUCAUAUGUCUCCAGUUAACAGGUUCAUGAGUCCAAGUAAUUUCUGUUUUUCACUGGAUAUAAAAAAAUUGUAUGUAAUGCAAAACAUGCCAAUGAUGCCUUUGUUUUAUCACAUUUAUUUCUUCCAACUUUAUUCAUGCCUGUGGCAUGGAAAUAGCUUGGGAUAGUCAUGUAAUGGUUUCCACAAGUAGUUACUUAUCUUGUACAACAGACUUCUGCUCCUCAGCUGCUAUCAAUGAGUGUUUCUUAAUUUCUUCAAUGAGCCUGGGCAGAUUGACACCAGUUGAAGAUCAAAUCCCAUGUGAUUAACUGUGACAAUAACCACGGCUAAUAUGGUCUUACCCUGUAUACCUCUAGUAAUCCGUGUAAGACCUAAGUAAUCUAGUCAAAAUAAUAAUUUGUGAGGUGGCUGUCAGUUGUCAGAAAGGGGGAAGAACAUCUGUGAUUCUUCUGCCUGUCCCAGUCUCAGGGCUCCUAACGAUCGGAGCUGUACCUUCCCAUUGCACACAGCUGCUUCAGGGGACACUUAUAAGUCACUGCCGUGCAGUUAUUCCUCCUGUAUAACACAAACAUGUAACGUGAUUCAUCACCGAGGUACUCCAGAGUUAUGACAAUAUGAUUCAAUUAACUUCACAAAGAUCUGCCUAUUACUUGCUUUAAUGAAGAUGCAAUGGAUCAUGACACAAGCUAUAAAAAAUACCAGCGCAGUUUGAGUAGUCUAUUGACCAAGCAAGAGAGAGAAAGAGUUCUUCAAAAGCCGGGUACCAUCCUAAGUCCUGAGAACCAACUGGACUUCCAGCUGAUUUUUAGAGGUACCCUGAAGUAGUAUUUAAGAAAAAAAAGGUUUGUAAUCAAAAAGACAAGUUAGGUCAAGAUACGGAGACUUUCACCCUGUAUUUUUGACAGGGUGUAUUUUACAGACCUAAGUGUUGUAAUCUUGUAAUACAAAUUUUCAUAGAACAAAAACAUCUAAAGGUAAUGAACGUAUAUAUCUCCUUAGAGCUGGGGAGAGGGAAGUUUAUGAAAUCAAAGUAGACAGCAGUACAAAUAGCAUUCAGUUGCACAUCUUCCUUAGAUACAUUGGCUCUACACAUGACUACAGGUAGGACUGAAUGAUCUUCCCUGUUUUGCUGUAUUUAAAACCAAGCUUCAAAUCACAUUUUCUCAGCAGAGAGAGCUUUUAUGUCGUACAUGAUUGUUAUCAGUAAUAACAAAUGAACUAAUGCCUUCUUUAUUCCACUCAGCCAGUGGGGCCAGACAAUAAAGUAAUCUGUCUCCCUUUUAAUUUAAUUUUGCCAUGGGAAUCAUUGGUACUACUUGGCAAAAUCCCUGCACAGAAGGAAUAUAUAUUGUUGAAAAAAAUGAAACAAAAUCCUCGUAUGCUGAUGCUAUCUUGAUAAUGCCUAAAAAUCGGUCUAUGUGCCAACUUUCAGUUCCUGAUCAAAUCAGAAUAUGUGAACAUUACCUGUAAAAAUGUCUGUAAAAACUUUGAUAGAAACAUUUUGAGUUUUGCCUGGGAAAACUACUCAGUCACUCAUGACACUAUGGAAAUAUAUUAAUGGACUUUUCCUAUGCAUCCAAUCAGAAAGUGAUUUUCUUCACUAUAGGUGGUUAUUCUUCCACUGAGGUUCAAAAUAGAAAAUGACUUAGCACCUCCAUCUGAGGUAUGGCAGGUGUUCCCAUACAUUAAAUGGAUCUCAGUGCCCUCCAGAGAGAGUACUUUAUUCAGUACAAGCUGGGGUGUAUUACAACAGCUUAAACCACUCUUAUUUACAUUGAUGUCCCUAUGGAACAAUCAAAAGUUCAAGUCUGUGGACAAAAUGGCUUCUCAAUGUGUAUGUGCUCAGUCUGUAAGGCCUUGAUCCCUCCAGCUCCCUUUGGGUGCUGAGCCCCUCUGUCUGCAAGUGCCGCACUCGAGCCAGCGUGUCCCUGGUCUGACCGCGUGGGACACGAUACACGCAGGAGGCUGCUAUUUUGAUUUCCCCAAUUCCUUCUGUUUCCACAGAACACGCCACUGCCCAUUCCAGCAGUGAUGCUACGCAUGGGAACACCUGCAAACCUUUGUGCGAAUGCAGGUCCCGCGAGGCAGGGGCUGUCUUUGCGGCACAGUGGGAUCAGCGCUCCCAGAGCCGCAAAAACGCCAAACGGGAAAAACCCUCGGAGGGCUGGUUAGGAAGUCUGGCAAUAAAAGUUGACCAUUGGGCAUUUGUUUCAGGCUGAGCUACUGGCUAUGGAAAAGAAAGGGAUUUGAGAUUCUUGUCAACUCUCAGACUAUUAUCGCAGACUGUCAGUAGUGCCACUGAUUCUUCAUUUCUACCAACUUUGAGAAAAACGUCAUUAACGCUGAGCGAUACUAUGGCAGAAACUUUAUUUAUUGGCAUUGCAUACACAGGAAGAACUUCACCACCCGCAGUCAAAGCUGGAGAGCAGCCGAAGGCAUAUAAUCAAGGCCUUAAGAAAGUAUCUGUGGCGGGCACUUGAUUACAGGGUACAGUGCACUGAUUACAAGCCAAGAUACCCCCAGAUCAGAAAUCGGAAUUAGUACUUUUUAAGCUCUAAAGGUAGUUUAAAAUAUUCAUCUGAGCCCAUUACUACAUUCAGUAUUUGGAAAUAAACCCCAUUUCUCCACAUAAGGCUAAAACUUCAAAGCGGUAAGAAUUUGCGCAUGUAAUCCUUACCUUGUUGCUCAGUAGGACAUUAACUACAUGUUUAUGUUACUGUUAAUGGUUAGACUUCUCCAUAACAUAGGGGAGAAUAUUAUAAUUGGUGGUAACGCAGACUCCACCUGCAAGGCCUGGAAUAUUGCGUUUUCCAUGUUUGCCUUGAUUGGUUAGUUGGAGUUGUGAAAAUAGGAUGUGACAUCUGCCUGGGCUUGUGUGUGCAAAAUAGCAGCUGUGUGAGAUGUGAUAGGCAAUAAUUGGCUGCCUGCAGAGCAAGAAAACACUCACGUAAAUGACGUCUCUCUCUCUUCUAAAACAUUAGGCAAGGAAGCCUUUCAAGAAGGGGCAGGCAGCCUCUCAGGAAAGAACUGUCAAGUUUGCUUGCAUCAUUGUGUCUCAUUAAAUUGGGAAAUGCACCUCUUCUAAUCAUUAGUUCAGACAGCGCAUCAUCCCACCAUCCAUCAAGAUAGUAUUAUUGUAAUGUAUUAUUUGUGUCAGUGUUUGCCAUAGCAGAGUUCUUGGAGACUCCCGUAAUGCAGCCUUUUUUUCUUUUACAGAAAGGCAAAGAAACUAUUUAAAAUUAGGGAUUCUUAGGAAAGAGAUAGAAAACAACACGAAAAAGCAUCAUUACAUUGCCAAAUAAACCCAUAAUGCACCUACACAUUCAACACUGUAGGCUCUUCAAACCCCUCUGUCACAAGGAUAUGGAAGAGUCAAAGAAGGGAAGCAGACGAGAUCAAGGAAUGGCACCUCUAUUAGGAAUGAGUAUAUCAUCUAAGUGUCUUCGAAGUAGAAGAGAGACAACCUGGGGAGGGGAGGCAGUAUCAUAUUGGUCUACAAAGUCCGAGUGACAAGAAGAGAUUAAGCACACAGUGUUAUUCACCAUUUCUCAUAAUUCAGAAAUCAUAGCUAUAAAAUGAGCUUGUUAUGUUUAACCCUGUUCAAUUCCAAACAGUCAAAAGGAUGUACUUUUCAUAUAGUACACGGCCAAAUGCUGGAACUGACGCCAUAGAGUACUUUGGAUACUGAAUGAUGAGUUCACUCCAUGAGUUUGUAGAAGAUAAAACCACUGACAACAGAAAUAACUCCUGUUGCAACUUCUUGAUGAGGAGUUUGUCUGGACUGCUGAAACUUAGAAGGUACAAUGCAUGUCCUAUUCUUACACUCUUCCUUAAACACUGACUUCUGUGAGCUAGCUGGAUCUUUAAGUGAGCCAAUAGACUUCUUUAUAUGUUUCAAUGGUGUAAAUAAAUUUUUACUGUUGCCAUGAUUAGCAACAAUAAUGGAAGUGAUAAAACAGUACCUUACAUCAAUAAAACUAUUUAUUUUUAAAAACAUGCUGGUUUCACUAAUGUAAAAAAACUCAGAGGCCUCUUUGCCUUGAACUGAAAAGUAAUAUGGAGCUAGGAAGAACUGGUAUUGCAGUCAAGGCCUUGGAUCAGUAGCAAAGUCUGACAAGAAGUCAGUUUUUACGUGACCCAGUUGCAACUCAGAUAUGGAGGUGACCUGGCUGCCAAUUUAUUUGUGACACUACUGUGAUAGCUCCUGCUUAA